This 309-nucleotide ribosomal RNA is filed under the name uncultured Rhodobacterales bacterium. Its description in RNAcentral is "SSU rRNA". It matches the Rfam family "Bacterial small subunit ribosomal RNA", at positions 29 to 367 of the family's 1533-position model. The record is from RNAcentral. Lineage: Bacteria; Pseudomonadati; Pseudomonadota; Alphaproteobacteria; Rhodobacterales.
AUGAACGCUGGCGGCAUGCCUAACACAUGCAAGUCGAACGAGAUCUUCGGAUCUAGUGGCGCACGGGUGAGUAACGCGUGGGAACCUACCUUUUAGUACGGGACAACGUUUGGAAACGAACGCUAAUACCAUAUACGCCCUUCGGGGGAAAGAUUUAUCGGUGAAGGAUUAGCCCGCGUAAGAUUAGAUAGUUGGUGGGGUAAUGGCCUACCAAGUCUACGAUCUUUAGCUGGUUUUAGAGGAUGAUCAGCAACACUGGGACUGAGACACGGCCCAGACUCCUACGGGAGCAGCAGUGGGGAAUCUUAG